This 472-nucleotide ribosomal RNA is filed under the name uncultured bacterium. RNAcentral describes it as "bacterial SSU rRNA". It matches the Rfam family "Bacterial small subunit ribosomal RNA", at positions 355 to 825 of the family's 1533-position model. The record is from RNAcentral.
UUUCGAAUCAUUCAACAAUGGGCGGAAGCCUGAUGGUGCGACGCCGCGUGAGGGAUGAAGGCCUUCGGGUUGUAAACCUCUGUCACCGGGGAAGAAACGCUUCAAGUUAACAGCUUGAAGCCUGACUUAACCCGGAGAGGAAGCAGUGGCUAACUCUGUGCCAGCAGCCGCGGUAAUACAGAGACUGCAAGCGUUAUUCGGAUUCACUGGGCGUAAAGGGUGCGCAGGCGGUUGGGUGUGUCAGAUGUGAAAUCCCGAGGCUUAACCUCGGAACUGCGUCUGAAACUACUCGACUAGAGUACUGGAGAGGGUAACGGAAUUCACGGUGUAGCAGUGAAAUGCGUAGAUAUCGUGAGGAACACCAGAGGCGAAGGCGGUUACCUGGACAGUUACUGACGCUCAGGCACGAAAGCAUGGGGAGCAAAAGGGAUUAGAUACCCAUGUAGUCCCUGAGCGGGCUGGCAAGGCGCAU